GACGAACGCUGGCGGCGUGCUUAACACAUGCAAGUCAAACGGAAAGGCCCUGCUUUUGUGGGGUGCUCGAGUGGCGAACGGGUGAGUAACACGUGAGUAACCUGCCCUUGACUUUGGGAUAACUUCAGGAAACUGGGGCUAAUACCGGAUAGGAGCUCCUGCUGCAUGGUGGGGGUUGGAAAGUUUCGGCGGUUGGGGAUGGACUCGCGGCUUAUCAGCUUGUUGGUGGGGUAGUGGCUUACCAAGGCUUUGACGGGUAGCCGGCCUGAGAGGGUGACCGGCCACAUUGGGACUGAGAUACGGCCCAGACUCCUACGGGAGGCAGCAGUGGGGAAUAUUGCACAAUGGGCGGAAGCCUGAUGCAGCAACGCCGCGUGCGGGAUGACGGCCUUCGGGUUGUAAACCGCUUUCGCCUGUGACGAAGCGUGAGUGACGGUAAUGGGUAAAGAAGCACCGGCUAACUACG
This 466-nucleotide ribosomal RNA is filed under the name uncultured bacterium. Its description in RNAcentral is "partial 16S ribosomal RNA". It matches the Rfam family "Bacterial small subunit ribosomal RNA", at positions 28 to 505 of the family's 1533-position model. The record is from RNAcentral.